CGGGUGAGUAAUGUAUGGGGAUCUGCCUGAUGGCGGGGGAUAACUACUGGAAACGGUAGCUAAUACCGCAUAAUGUCUGCGGACCAAAGCGGGGGACCUCCGGGCCUCGCGCCAUCAGAUGAACCCAUAUGGGAUUAGCUAGUAGGUAAGGUAACGGCUUACCUAGGCGACGAUCCCUAGCUGGUCUGAGAGGAUGAUCAGCCACACUGGGACUGAGACACGGUCCAG
Molecule: ribosomal RNA, 228 nt
Filed under: uncultured bacterium
Lineage: Bacteria
Description: partial 16S ribosomal RNA
Rfam family: Bacterial small subunit ribosomal RNA
Source: RNAcentral